RNAcentral lists this ribosomal RNA (386 nucleotides) under uncultured bacterium. RNAcentral's name for it is "bacterial SSU rRNA". It matches the Rfam family "Bacterial small subunit ribosomal RNA", at positions 30 to 416 of the family's 1533-position model. The record is from RNAcentral.
AUUGAACGCUGGCGGCAUGCCUUACACAUGCAAGUCGAACGGCAGCACGGGGGCAACCCUGGUGGCGAGUGGCGAACGGGUGAGUAAUACAUCGGAAUGUACCCAGUAGUGGGGGAUAACUAGUCGAAAGAUUAGCUAAUACCGCAUACGCACUAUGGAUGAAAGCGGGGGAUCGCAAGACCUCGCGCGAUUGGAGCGGCCGAUAUCAGAUUAGCUAGUUGGUGGGGUAAAGGCCCACCAAGGCGACGAUCUGUAGCUGGUCUGAGAGGACGACCAGCCACACUGGAACUGAGACACGGUCCAGACUCCUACGGGAGGCAGCAGUGGGGAAUUUUGGACAAUGGGCGCAAGCCUGAUCCAGCCAUGCCGCGUGAGUGAAGAAGGCC